CUUAGAGUUAGAGAGAGGGGCUCUCAAGCUUAGAGAGAGAGAAGUUCCCGGAGCCACUAUUCACGGCGGCGCCACUGUUCACGGCGCCACUAUUCAUGGUGGCGCACUGUUCACGCGCACUGUUCAUGCCGCCACUGUUCACGGCCAAGAGGAGAAAAAUCCAACCCCAUUUCUAGCCUUCCCAAAAAUAAUUCCUUGGUGUUAACUCACUAUUUGGAGGUCCCUAAGUAGCGUGGAAGCAUUAUUGGAGCGAUCAAACCAUCCAUUUUUGUAAAUCGCAAACCCUAACUUUCUUGUGGAGUAAAGAACAAAGACCUUGGGGAGCCCGAGGCGUAGAUUGGGAUUUACUUUAGAUUGGCUAUCUUGGAGUGCGUACGAGGUACAGACGCACAGUUUGGUGAUCUACCCAUUUAGGACACCCUCUUCUGCUGUUUGGAGUGCUCUUCUCAUUUCAGAGCACACAUUUUGGUAUAUAUAUUCGUUUGCUAUGUAUAUAUGUAUUUGUUCAGGGGCACGGCGGGGCCCUGUCCCGCCAUAUGAUUUGGUUUGUCUGUUUAGAGGUCUGUAGACGUAUUUGUGGGUGUGUGUGCCUACUUCUGUACGGAUGUGUUUGCAUGACUCUAUUCGUUAUGACAGCCUUGUCGGCUCGCACAUGUAUAUGUUGUUCUGUUGGCCCUGUGUGGCCUUUGUUGGUAUUUGCUGUGUACAGGGUUAUUUUGGAUAGUCCGAAAAACAAAGGAAACUCUGCCGAAAUUUUCUUUGAAAAUCUCAUAAAUAUGAAACACCGCCUUGUCGGCUUCUGUUAUA
This is a long non-coding RNA of Lycium barbarum (goji berry), 807 nucleotides long. RefSeq lists it as uncharacterized. The transcript has 3 exons. The record is from RefSeq and is a predicted model, not a curated record. Lineage: Eukaryota; Viridiplantae; Streptophyta; Magnoliopsida; Solanales; Solanaceae.